Molecule: ribosomal RNA, 468 nt
Filed under: uncultured bacterium
Lineage: Bacteria
Description: partial 16S ribosomal RNA
Rfam family: Bacterial small subunit ribosomal RNA
Source: RNAcentral
GACGAACGCUGGCGGCGGGCUUAACACAUGCAAGUCGAACGGAAGGGCCCUGCUUUUGUGGGGUGCUCGAGUGGCGAACGGGUGAGUAACACGGGAGUAACCUGCCCUGGACUUUGGGAUAACUUCAGGAAACUGGGGCUAAUACCGGAUAGGAGCUCCUGCUGCAUGGUGGGGGUUGGAAAGUUUCGGCGGUUGGGGAUGGACUCGCGGCUUAUCAGCUUGUUGGUGGGGUAGUGGCUUACCCAGGCUUUGGCGGGUAGCCGGCCUGGGAGGGUGAACGGCCACAAUGGGACUGAGAGAGGGCGCAGACGCCAACAGGAGGCAGCAGGGGAGAACAUUGCACAAUCGUGGGAAGCCUGUUGCGGCAACGCUCGGUGCGGGAAGACCGCCUUGGGGGUAUAAAGCGCAGUAGCCUGAGACCAAGCGUGAGUGACGGUAAUGGCUAAAGAAGCACCGGCUAACUACGUG